This 446-nucleotide ribosomal RNA is filed under the name uncultured bacterium. Its description in RNAcentral is "partial 16S ribosomal RNA". It matches the Rfam family "Bacterial small subunit ribosomal RNA", at positions 338 to 795 of the family's 1533-position model. The record is from RNAcentral.
CCUACGGGGGACUGCAGUCGAGAAUCAUUCACAAUGGGGGAAACCCUGAUGGUGCGACGCCGCGUGGGGGAAUGAAGGUCUUCGGAUUGUAAACCCCUGUCAUGUGGGAGCAAAUUAAAAAGAUCGUACCACAAGAGGAAGAGACGGCUAACUCUGUGCCAGCAGCCGCGGUAAUACAGAGGUCUCAAGCGUUGUUCGGAAUCACUGGGCGUAAGGCGUGCGUAGGCUGUUUCGUAAGUCGUGUGUGAAAGGCGCGGGCUCAACCCGCGGACGGCACAUGAUACUGCGAGACUAGAGUAAUGGAGGGGGAACCGGAAUUCUCGGUGUAGCAGUGAAAUGCGUAGAUAUCGAGAGGAACACUCGUGGCGAAGGCGGGUUCCUGGACAUUAACUGACGCUGAGGCACGAAGGCCAGGGGAGCGAAAGGGAUUAGAUACCCUUGUAGUC